Molecule: non-coding RNA, 23 nt
Filed under: Arabidopsis thaliana (thale cress)
Lineage: Eukaryota; Viridiplantae; Streptophyta; Magnoliopsida; Brassicales; Brassicaceae
Source: RNAcentral
CUAGUUCCGGAGGAUCUUGGCGC